This 397-nucleotide ribosomal RNA is filed under the name uncultured bacterium. Its description in RNAcentral is "partial 16S ribosomal RNA". It matches the Rfam family "Bacterial small subunit ribosomal RNA", at positions 523 to 918 of the family's 1533-position model. The record is from RNAcentral.
AUACGUAGGUGACAAGCGUUAUCCGGAUUUACUGGGCGUAAAGGGCGUGUAGGCGGUCUUGCAAGUCAGAAGUGAAAUUCCUGAGCUCAACUCGGGCGCUGCUUCUGAAACUGCAGGACUUGAGUGCUGGAGGGGAUAGCGGAAUUCCUAGUGGAGCGGUAAAAUGCGCAGAUAUUAGGAAGAACACCGGUGGCGAAGGCGGCUAACUGGAAAUUAAGUGACGCUGAGGCGCGAAAGCGUGGGGAGCAAAAGGGAUUAGAUCCCCUGGUAGUCCACUCCGUAAACGAUGAAUACUAGGUGUAGGGGGUAUCGACUCCCUCUGUGCCGCAGUUAACACAAUAAGUAUUCCGCCUGGGGAGUACGGCCGCAAGGUUGAAACUCAAAUGAAUUGACGGGG